Molecule: ribosomal RNA, 414 nt
Filed under: Hemilepistus reaumurii
Lineage: Eukaryota; Metazoa; Arthropoda; Malacostraca; Isopoda; Agnaridae
Description: partial large subunit ribosomal RNA
Rfam family: Bacterial large subunit ribosomal RNA
Source: RNAcentral
GCCGCAGUAUUCUGACUGUGCUAAGGUAGCAUAAUAAUUUGUAAUUUAAUUGGUUACUAGAAUGAAUGGUCUGACGAAAAAUAACCUUUCUUAUAUAAAAUCUAAAUUUAUAUUUUAGUAAAAAAGCUAAUAUUUAUUAAAAUGACGAUAAGACCCUAAAACCUUAAAUAAUAUUUUUACUGGGGCGGUAAAUUAUUCAACGUAAUUUUUUAAAACAUAGUGAAUGAAUUUCACUUCCUAUUUUUAAAUUCAAAAAGGUACUUUAGGGAUAACAGUAUAAUUCUUGUAGAGAGCAUCUUAUCGACACAAGGGAUUAUAACCUCGAUGUUGAAUUGAUAUAACAUUACUAAGCAGCCCUAGUAAAUGUAAGUCUGUUCGACUUUUUAAAUAUCACGUGAUCUGAGUUCAGACCGG